RNAcentral lists this long non-coding RNA (474 nucleotides) under Olea europaea (common olive). RNAcentral describes it as "long non-coding RNA (OEUR_LNC010348)". The record is from RNAcentral. Lineage: Eukaryota; Viridiplantae; Streptophyta; Magnoliopsida; Lamiales; Oleaceae.
AAUACUAUAUUGAUCUUGCCAAGUUAGAUGAAAGCAAAAUAUGCGUGGGAGAUGGUAUAUACUGGAUCGAAUUUAAAAAGUGGGGGUAUAAUCUACUCGAGAAGUUUGAGCAAAAAGAGUUUCCAUUACUCGCAUAUUUAAAUUAUGAACCGGUCAUUCAACCUGAGGAGAUAUCAAUUAUGGAAGAGGAGUACAUAGAUGAUGAAAGAUCAGUUACAAAGGAACACAAGCGAAGAAGAUGUAAUUAAUGAAGAAGAAAUUAACACACAUUCAUUUGACUUCAUUGAUUGUCCAACCAUUGAAUUUGUAAUCAAGCCCGAAGAGAAUGAAUAAGUAUGCCUAGUUGAUUUCGAAUCGAAUAAAAUAGGCAAGUCAGAUUACAUUGGAGUGGCAAUGCCAAAUUUUAUAGAAUCAACGAAGAGUGGAGUAAAGUCGAAAGAAGCAAAAUGAGCAAGGCAUCAAAAUCACUAUUCA